This 82-nucleotide non-coding RNA is filed under the name Brassica napus (rape). RNAcentral's name for it is "rRNA LSU_rRNA_eukarya". It matches the Rfam family "Eukaryotic large subunit ribosomal RNA", at positions 24 to 101 of the family's 3401-position model. Lineage: Eukaryota; Viridiplantae; Streptophyta; Magnoliopsida; Brassicales; Brassicaceae. The record is from Rfam by way of RNAcentral.
CCCGCUGAGUUUAAGCAUAUCAAUAAGCGGAGGAAAAGAAACUAACAAGGAUUCCCUUAGUAACUGUUGGUGUCAAAAUUGG